GUCUUAGUUCAUAGCCCAUCCAGGCCUGAAACUGUCAAUCCUUCUGCCUCAGCCUUCUGAGUGCUGAAAUUAAAGUGGAGUUUCCAGAGGCUGCUUGAUGUGUGAUACGAUAGCAGAAUCCAGAAUCCAGAAGCAAGCCAGAAACCAUGGUACAUGCCUGCUGGAUGGCAGUGUUGCUUGAGCCCAGGAGUUAGACAACAGCUUGGGUAACAUGGCCCUGAGCAAGCUGCACCAUCAAAACCCCAUCAAAAGCCCGGGCCCCUAAGUGAGCUUCCACUGCAGUAAUACUAGUGAAGAUCCUUCGGGCAUAAAAUUUUAGGGGACACCAAAAAACUCAGUAAUCAAGAUAGCCAGCAUUACGAUUUUUUUUUUUACAAAGAUUAAUACCAAAAUCCCACAACAAAAUACCAUAAUUUAAAAUAAAGACAGGAUUCUCCGAACUCGGUUCUCCUUUCUGUGGACUCCACCGGAACCCCUCAUUCACGGUAGGACUGAAUAAUCUGGAAUUAAGUGUAUGUACUUCCCGCUGGUGCUGCGCGAAGCAAGGCUGAGAAGCUGCAGAGAGCCAGUGUCCCUGCUGUCCCUUGUCCCCAGCGCAGGGCGACCUGUGCCUCGCAGCGGGGACUGGAUGGAACCCAUGCUUGUGGAAAAGGCCGCGAUCAGGGGAGCUGGGAGGCCCGUGCAUGUGUGCAUUACCCACGUGAGCACGCACGGUCUAGGCUUGCUUCUCUUUCCAAGUCUGGGCUCAGGACCGGCAGACUUCUGCCUCCGAGAAGAUGCACGGAACUUGGACUUUGCGCUUGCAAAGACAUGGCACCUGGUCGUUACGUGGGGAGUGAAGGUCAGCAUUCCUUCUUACACAACUGGCAGGUGGAGCGCAACUCUUCCUGCCACUUCACUGCCAGACAGGAACACGCCCCUCCCUGCAAGGUAGCAGAGACCUGAGCCCAUACCAUCCGGUCCUAUCAGCCCCGCAGAACCCCUCCAACAGUCCUCCGGCAGCAGCAGAACGCAGGGAAC
Castor canadensis (American beaver) is the source of this 1020-nucleotide non-coding RNA. The record is from RefSeq and is a predicted model, not a curated record. NCBI's taxonomy places the organism in Eukaryota, Metazoa, Chordata, Mammalia, Rodentia, Castoridae.